UGGGGAUGACGUCAAGUCAUCCAUGGCCCUUACGGCCAGGGCUACACACGUGCUACAAUGGUCGGUACAAAGGGUUGCCAAGCCGCGAGGUGGAGCUAAUCCCAUAAACCGAUCGUAGUCCGGAUCGCAGUCUGCAACUCGACUGCGUGAAGUCGGAAUCGCUAGUAAUCGUGAAUCAGAAUGUCACGGUGAAUACGUUCCCGGGCCUU
Molecule: ribosomal RNA, 209 nt
Filed under: uncultured Pseudomonas sp.
Lineage: Bacteria; Pseudomonadati; Pseudomonadota; Gammaproteobacteria; Pseudomonadales; Pseudomonadaceae
Description: partial 16S ribosomal RNA
Rfam family: Bacterial small subunit ribosomal RNA
Source: RNAcentral